Non-coding RNA from Paramuricea clavata, 421 nucleotides. Lineage: Eukaryota; Metazoa; Cnidaria; Anthozoa; Malacalcyonacea; Plexauridae. The record is from the annotation of a GenBank genome assembly.
GUAUAAUCUUAAUAAAUACCCAAUGUGCAAUAACAUGUCAAAUUUGGAUUACCUUAUAUUUGGAUAUACACUGCUAUCACAGAUACUUACUUUUCUCUCAACAAUGAACAAAGAACAGACUCAAAGCUAAACUAUAUUUCUUCUACUACUUUUCUAAUGUAAACACUACAGCAACUAGAUAAGCUGUCUAUCGCAUAAUCAGAUUUUGCGUUUGGCAAUGCACACAUGAUUCUGAACACCAUCACAUUCUUAGUUACAACAAUUUCUCAAACCAUUUCCCUGAAAGUAUCAACUGCAGCAACUUGAUAACUUUAGUAUCAUGACACUCCUCCUUCACAAACGGGAACACAACUCUAAAAAUCUAAAGCUAACUAUACACUUUUUACUGUUUUCCCGACAACCAGCAACUUUGGCAAUUUCA